This 608-nucleotide ribosomal RNA is filed under the name Dehalococcoidia bacterium. Its description in RNAcentral is "partial 23S ribosomal RNA". It matches the Rfam family "Bacterial large subunit ribosomal RNA", at positions 1 to 572 of the family's 2925-position model. The record is from RNAcentral. Lineage: Bacteria; Bacillati; Chloroflexota; Dehalococcoidia.
GGUCAAGUUAUUAAGGGCUUACGGUGGAUGCCUUGGGACCAAGGGCCGAUGAAGGGCGCGGCAAGGCUGCGUUAAGCCUCGAUGAGCCGUCUAGCAGGCAUAGUCGGGGAUACCCGAAUGGGGUAACCUAAUCCGGUGUUGAGUCGGAUUAUCCCGGUUUUGUAUCGGGAAGGUAAGCGGGGGAACUGAAACAUCUAAGUACCCCGAGGAAAAGAAAUCAACCGAGAUUCCCCUAGUAGUGGCGAACGAACGGGGAAUAGCCUAAACCAGUACGACUUAGUGGAGUGAGGUCCUAUGUCGUAUCGGGGUUGUAGGGCGCGUUUUAGGUCGCCUCGCCAGACCUGAAGGAGUUACAAAUCUUGUCUCUAGUCGAAGGCACCUGGGAAGGACCGUCAUAGAGGGUGAAAGCCCCGUAGACGAAAGGGACAAGACUCCUAGCGCAUACCCUGAGUACCACGGGGCACGGGAAACCUUGUGGGAAUCUGGGGGGACCACCCUCCAAGGCUAAAUACCCUUGGUCACCGAUAGCGUACCAGUACCGUGAGGGAAAGGUGAAAAGAACCCCUAGCGGGGAGUGAAAUAGAUCUGAAACCGUAAGCCUACAGAAG